Long non-coding RNA from Eurytemora carolleeae, 547 nucleotides. RefSeq lists it as uncharacterized. The transcript is spliced from 2 exons. The record is from RefSeq and is a predicted model, not a curated record. NCBI's taxonomy places the organism in Eukaryota, Metazoa, Arthropoda, Copepoda, Calanoida, Temoridae.
UAUAAACUGUUUACUUGUAGGUAACAGCCCCAGUAGCCCUGUACUGGGCCCAGAAUGAUUGGCUUGUAAUGCCUGAGGAUGCUAAAUAUCUCAAUGAUCGUCUGCCUAAUGUUGUCAAGUUUGAAAGGGUGAAUGAAAGUAUGUACACACAUCUAGAUUUCCUAUGGGGAAUACAUAACAUGGAUCUAGUUUACGGACCAACUAUAAACCUUAUGAAAGAAUAUUAACUAUACAUUGAUAGUCUAAUAUCUUUAUUCCUUUAUCUUUGCAAAUCUUUUUGAUAUUUGAAACUAUAAGUUCUGUUUAAUCAGCUGGUAUAAGUUCGAAAUAUCAAAGGUUUACAUCCUCAGGUUGGUUGCAACAAUAUUGAGAUAAAUUUGAUUUUGGCAAAAAAUCAAUUCCUUUAUUAAAAAACUAUAAAAUUAAUAUGAUAAAUUAGAAACAUGUAUCAAUUUUUAUUUUUUUUAUUCUAAACGCUUUACGAAUAUUGUAUAAUGAUAUGAUUGUUUAAUCAAAUGUUUUUCGCUAAAUAUAUUUUAAUUUUAUA